AGUAAAUUCGUGUAUUUCAAUAGUGUGGUGCGUGUGGCUGGGAAUUUCAUUUUUUAUGGAUCGACGGGUCCUGGAUGAUCAGCUGUUGUUGAUUGGUAGAUCAUUCUUCUUUCUUGGGGGUUGUCUAGCUCUGUACUAUUUUAAAGGCGUGUGAAAUUUGCUGGGUGUUUGGUUCUUUCAUACAUCGGCUUGCUUUGUGAUUUGCUAGGUUGUUGCUGUGUUGUUGUUGUGAUCAUACAUGGGUUUGGAAUUGACAUGCAAGUUGUUGUCAUUAUCAUCAUUGUGCAUUAAUGCACUCUUCCACUUUGUUUUGGUUUAUCAUCGAUCAUGACCUGGGAGAGCUGCGGUUGUUGGCUUGGACAUGACAUGUUUCUCUCUCUCAUGAAGUGGUUGGUGUUUCAAGUUGGUUGGUCUCUCUAGGAACUGUUCAUUCCCGAUUCUCAUGAAACUAGAUGCGUUUUUUUUCCCUUGCUCAUUCUUUAGCAUAAUUUGUGUUUGUCAUUUUAGUCUUAUUCUUCAGUAUUUUCCUAUGCAGCUAGGCUGCACGACUUUUUUAAAUUCAAUUUGUACAUGAUUUAUAGGCACCCCUCUCAUUUUGCUUCGAAGUUGGUGUGAGAUAGGGUUGGUGUUUUUGAGAGAGGCCUUCCCAACCAUUACUCUCAACUCUUCCACUGUCAAUUUCUUUCCCAAUUGCAGUUCCCUGCUUCUUGCUUUUUAGGAAAUAUAUUUUUCCGGCUGCUGUCUCUCUUCAAUCGGUUAUCUAUUUUUUCCUGCAAUUUUUCCACAUUGUUUUUAUCUUUACCCUUUGUUUUUGUUUCUUCUCACUUUUAAUGUGUUUUUGGCUCUAUGCUUUUUUCAUUUCUGAGUUUUUAGUUGUCUCAGAUGGUUCAGCUGGUGACCUUUUUUUUAGCAGCAUGUUGCUUAACAGGAUUAGUUUGCCUCUGCGUCGGUGCCCUUGGUGACCUAUUAGGUUUGCGAAUUCUUUAUCUUAUGCCUUCUCGGUUAGGAGCAAGGUUGUCUUGCUGGUGGUCUCACUCUUUUCAGAAGAGCUUUAACAACUGAUUGUGCCUUACUCGGCAGGUUUCUCUUUUUCAAGGCGUUUUAGGAACUUCACCAUGUCAUCUCUGUGUUUGUUUGGCUUCCCAAAUCUUAUUUUUUGGUUUUUUAACAGCCUUUCAUACCUUCGUUUCAGGGUGCUUUUUAAGACCUUACCAUUUGUUUCGUGUUGGUCCGUUCUUUUUUAUGUCAUCCUUUUCUUUGCAUUGAAUUUGGCUUGGAACCUAUAUUUAUUUUUCUUUUUGUCAUCUCUGUGCAUGCUUAUGGUCUGAAUUCCUGGUGGCUCUCUCACUACUCUAUCAAUGAUUUGUACCAUUUUCGCUCACCUUGAGUGCUGCAAGGUUUUCUCAUUUGGUUUCUGCCUUUUUUGGUAGUUUUCCUUGCAUUGAUAUUGUGUGUUUGCAUCCCUUCCCCCGCUCCCCUUCCCCUACAGUCGAUUUGAUUACUGUUAUGCUCAAGAUAUCCUCCUUGAUGCAUUUGGCUUUUGUCUUGUGUAAUAAACCAGCCUUUACACUCUUUUUUAAUAUAGUUUUUUUUUUCCCUGUCCCUCUGCCUUGCAAUUUCCAGCGCUGGGCUGGUUUGGUUUACUUUGAUACUAUUUGGUUUGGCUUUGCUUCUCUUUCAGAAGCCUUUCCGUCCUUUUGGGUGCAGCAAUAUGAACAAAUCUUUUUAUUCUUUGAUUGC
This is an RNA transcript of Populus euphratica (Euphrates poplar), 1740 nucleotides long. RefSeq lists it as uncharacterized. The transcript is spliced from 3 exons. The record is from RefSeq and is a predicted model, not a curated record. Lineage: Eukaryota; Viridiplantae; Streptophyta; Magnoliopsida; Malpighiales; Salicaceae.